RNAcentral lists this ribosomal RNA (381 nucleotides) under uncultured marine Chaetocerotaceae. RNAcentral's name for it is "SSU rRNA". It matches the Rfam family "Eukaryotic small subunit ribosomal RNA", at positions 587 to 972 of the family's 1831-position model. Lineage: Eukaryota; Bacillariophyta; Thalassiosirophyceae; Chaetocerotales; Chaetocerotaceae. The record is from RNAcentral.
AGCUCCAAUAGCGUAUAUUAAAGUUGCUGCAGUUAAAAAGCUCGUAGUUGCAUUUCCGAGGCAAGGGAUUAGUCCGACCUUUGGUGGGUAUUUAAUCCUCUUGCCUCGUCCUUGAGUGGUGCUUCUUGGUAUUAAGUUAUCGAGGAGAUAGCCGCUCAUCGUUUACUGUGAGAAAAUUAGAGUGUUCAAAGCAGGCUUAUGCCGUUGAAUAUAUUAGCAUGGAAUAAUAAGAUAGGACCUCGGUACUAUUUUGUUGGUUUGAGAACCAAGGUAAUGAUGAAUAGGGACAGUUGGGGGUAUUCGUAUUCAGUUGUCAGAGGUGAAAUUCUUAGAUUUACGGAAGACGAACUACGGCGAAAGCAUGGACCAAGGAUGUUUUCA